This 122-nucleotide ribosomal RNA is filed under the name Mikrocytos sp. BC. RNAcentral's name for it is "5.8S ribosomal RNA". It matches the Rfam family "5.8S ribosomal RNA", at positions 1 to 119 of the family's 154-position model. From Rfam's summary of the family: 5.8S ribosomal RNA (5.8S rRNA) is a component of the large subunit of the eukaryotic ribosome. It is transcribed by RNA polymerase I as part of the 45S precursor that also contains 18S and 28S rRNA. Lineage: Eukaryota; Endomyxa; Ascetosporea; Mikrocytida; Mikrocytiidae. The record is from RNAcentral.
ACAAUAACGCCGGUCGGUGGAUCCGUCGGCUCGGAGAACGAUGAAGGCCGCAGCAGAGUGCGAAGAGCGGGGGAGACCAGCGAAACUGCGAUCCCCCGGUGGCCGAAUGACGUAGUUGCCGU